This is a long non-coding RNA of Austrofundulus limnaeus, 794 nucleotides long. RefSeq lists it as uncharacterized. The record is from RefSeq and is a predicted model, not a curated record. NCBI's taxonomy places the organism in Eukaryota, Metazoa, Chordata, Actinopteri, Cyprinodontiformes, Rivulidae. The transcript is spliced from 2 exons.
UGUGUAAAGUGUGUGUUAUAGAUAACUCUCAGUUAGUCUCUUUGAAAAAUAAAAGCAAAUUGUUAUGAAUCUGUCUCUGUCUGCCCAGUUCUAGUCUUGUCUCAUGUUCAUUCAGUUUCAUCCUGCUCCUCUGCUCAUUGCUCCUGCCCCUCCCGUCACAGAAAUCUCAAUCAGCUCAUUCAUCGCACCUGCUCCUGUCAGUAUUUAUUCCAGCUCCUGCCUCCAGCCCGUUGCCAGAUUAUCAUCAGCCUUGUCUAUGAUCUUCCAGCAAUCUUGUUCCUUUCUUGCCUUGAGUCCCCGACCCUGCUCAUGUCUCUUGGACCCACGUCUCCUGCCUCAGCCCCUGUCGGAUCCUGCGUGUCAUCUGUUCUCCUGGUAACGACCCUGUUUCUGUUUCUCGGACCCACGCCUCCUGCCUCAGCCCCUGUCGGAUCCUGCCUGCCUUCUGCUCACCUGGUAACAACACUGUUUCUGUUUGUUGGAUUUUCGCCUCACGUCUCGCCCCUGAACGGAACCUCGCCACCUCGGACUUCCUGGAACUCGACCUCGGAACUCAUCUCUGGAUCCUCGACUCAGCCUGCUCCAUUAAACCUGGUAACGAUCUCUGACCACCUGUGUAUGACCCCAGCUUUGUUUUGGACCACGAGAAAUCCCCGCAGCAACACCACCCGGAACCAGAACACUGUGGCAGUAGUCGCCACACAAGCUCAGCUCCUCUUGAGAAGAACUGCUGAUCCCGGUCUCCAGUCCUCGUCCUUCAGUUGCACAUUUUUACAAUAAACCUGUUAAAACUG